GUAGGGNGCGAGCGUNNAUCGGNAUUUAUUGGGCGUAAAGCGCGUGCAGGCUGUUUGGAAAGUUGGAUGUGAAAGCUCCUGGCUUAACUGGGAGAGGUCGUUCAAAACUACCAAACUAGAGAAUGGGAGAGGGAAGUGGAAUUCCGGGUGUAGUGGUGAAAUGCGUAGAUAUCCGGAGGAACACCAGUGGCGAAAGCGGCUUCCUGGACCAUUUCUGACGCUUAGACGCGAAAGCUAGGGGAGCGAACGGGAUUAGAGACCCCGGUAGUCCUAGCUGUAAACGAUGUAGACUUGGCGUUGGCGGAGUUAAAUCUGCCAGUGCCGGAGCAAACGCGUUAAGUCUACCGCC
RNAcentral lists this ribosomal RNA (349 nucleotides) under uncultured bacterium. RNAcentral's name for it is "bacterial SSU rRNA". It matches the Rfam family "Bacterial small subunit ribosomal RNA", at positions 527 to 873 of the family's 1533-position model. The record is from RNAcentral.